Molecule: long non-coding RNA, 698 nt
Organism: Pezoporus flaviventris
Lineage: Eukaryota; Metazoa; Chordata; Aves; Psittaciformes; Psittacidae
Exons: 3
Source: RefSeq, a predicted model, not a curated record
GGUUUGGUUGAUACGGUGGAGGGAAGGGAUGCCAUCCAGACGGACUCUGACAUGCUUGAGAGAUGGGCCAAUGCCAACCUCAUGUAGUUCAACAAAGCAAAGUGUAAGGUCCUGUACCUGUGUUGGGGCAAUACCAGGCACAGCUGCAGGCUGGGCUGAGACUGGAUUGAGAGCAGCUCUGAGAAAAAGGACUUGGGGGUGCUGGUUGAAGAGAAACUUAACAUGACCCAGCAGUGUGGGCUUGCAGCCCAGAAAGCCAACCAUAUCCUGAGCUGCAUCAAAAGAAGCGUGACCAGUGGGGUGAAAGAGAUGAUCCUGCCCCUCUACUCUGCUCUUGUAAGACCCCACUUGGAGUACUGUGUGCAGUUCUGGUGUCCUCAACAUAACAGGGAUAUGGAAAAGUCCCGAGGAGGGCCAUGAGGAUACGGGGGCUUGAUCACCUCCCACAUGAAGACAGGCCGAGAAAAUAGCAGCUGUUCAGCCUGGAGAACAGAAGGCUGCGUGGUAACCUCAUAGCAGGCUUUUAAGAUCUGAUGGGGGCUUAGAAGGAUACAGGAGAGGGUCUCCUUACCAGGGAAUGUAGCAAUAGGACAAUCGGUAAUGGGUUUAAACUUAAACAGCGGAAUUUCAGGGAGAAAAGUCAGGCACGAUGGCCAUCAGUUAGGACAACAGAACCUUCAGAAACAGAACAUACUGUG